UUGAGACUAUAAGUGCCAGUUGAUGAGAAAAAGCAGAUGCACUAAAUUGAGGAACUUGAAGUUAUUCUGCUCCAUGAAUCCCUGCACUUCUGCUUCGCUGCUUGCGAAAUCUACCCAAAAUUCAGCAACACUUUUUUAAUGCUUUUGUCUUUUUAUUGUGCAGUGACCACGUUGACUGAGAAAUUCGAAGAGUCAACAGCCCUGAAGGGAUUUGUGGUCCUGGAUGGAAUCAUGUGUCUCCCUCAGUGUCAAGGCAUGGGUGUCCAUUACAUCUCAGAAGAAGUCAGGAUGCUGAAUGCAAGGCUCGCAGUCACACGGCCUCACACUAAUUUUUUAUUUAUAAGCACUGCUCAAAGUAAUGAGAUGCUCUUGUGUCCUGUUGCUUGCUCUGCGUUACAAUACUGGCAUCUAUUAAGAGGCAUGUUUCGUAACUGUUAGUUGUAAGAAACAUCAUGUUUCCAGUUAUUUCUAGGAAAGCCGUCCUGAGGCAUUUAUAUUCAACAUUUCAGCUUUCAAUUGUGAAUGUUAAUAGAUUUUAACAUCUAAUAAUCAUAUGAAGGUAGAAAUGUGUAUCAAAGUUUGAUAUGGCUCCUCUCUUCAGCAAUGCAACCUGCUUGGGCCCUUUCUCCAAAGAAUGUUAGGGCUACAAUACAUGAACACCUUGUAAGUCCACCUGCUUCUCUGUGGACAGGAGUUGGAGCCAGAGGCACUGCAUGCUAGCAUUUUCAAAAUCAAAAUAUAUGAGCAAGAUUACACUAUGAAAAUGAGUGACCAAUUACUGGAUUGAGAUUUUUGAAAUUGAGUUAUAGUCAUGUGGUAGUCACACGUUAUUUGAGUCAGUGUGUUGUCCUCUUGGGAAAACUUUCAAUAUGUUUUAUGCAAUGUUCUGUAUCAGUUGAUGGGCACCCGUCCGCACUCGUGCUGUCUACCCACCCCUGCUGCUGUGAUGUUAUUUUUAAUGUUCUAAUUUUACAUUUUUUUAUUUCUUUCAAACUGGCAUAUCACUCUGUCAGAUAGAGGCUCCUUGCCUUAAAACUUCUGAGUGAGGAUAGGCGGGAGGAGGGAGGAACAACGAAGUGACAGCCAGCACUAUUAAGAGGGAAGGCAAGAGAAAUUAACCAGAGACAGUGACAAAGCCCAUUAGCUUCUAGGCUUGUAAAGGAUGGAGCACUUCCCCCCUCCCAGCGCUGAGUGGAUUUUCUUUCUUUCUUUCAGACUGGCAUAUCACUAUAUCAGACAGAGGCUCCUUGCCUGAAAACUUCUGAGUGAGGAAGCUAAUGAACAGAUGGGAGGCUUGCAAGGGAGGGAGUAUUUUCCUCUUCACACUGGCUUCCAGGGUUUUAAAAAAAAUUUCUUUCAAACUGGCAUAUAGCUAUACCAGCAGUACAGACAGAAAAGAAGAGAUUAGACUGUAAUUUUUUUCUUCCAGCCUGAAACCAGUGAUCCUGGCACCCAUUACUUGACAAACUCCACAGACGCCAUUUAUAACAACAAAGGCAUUCACAAAUGCCAAAACCAUUCAAAAUAAACUGAUUUUACAAGCAUGUUAAAAUAAAUGA
Long non-coding RNA from Pogona vitticeps (central bearded dragon), 1559 nucleotides. The record is from Ensembl. NCBI's taxonomy places the organism in Eukaryota, Metazoa, Chordata, Lepidosauria, Squamata, Agamidae.